CUACGGGUUGCAGCAGUGGGGAAUAUUGGACAAUGGGGGCAACCCUGAUCCAGCGAUGCCGCGUGAGUGAUGAAGGCCUUAGGGUUGUAAAACUCUUUCAGAUGGGAAGAUAAUGACGGUACCAUCAGAAGAAGCUCCGGCUAACUCCGUGCCAGCAGCCGCGGUAAUACGGAGGGAGCUAGCGUUGUUCGGAAUUACUGGGCGUAAAGCGCGCGUAGGCGGCUUGGCAAGUAGAGGGUGAAAUCCCGGGGCUUAACCUCGGAACUGCCUUCUAAACUGCUGAGCUAGAAUCCUGGAGAGGUGAGUGGAAUUCCUAGUGUAGAGGUGAAAUUCGUAGAUAUUAGGAAGAACACCAGUGGCGAAGGCGACUCACUGGACAGGUAUUGACGCUGAGGUGCGAAAGCGUGGGGAGCAAACAGGAUUAGAUACCCUUGUAGUC
Molecule: ribosomal RNA, 439 nt
Filed under: uncultured bacterium
Lineage: Bacteria
Description: partial 16S ribosomal RNA
Rfam family: Bacterial small subunit ribosomal RNA
Source: RNAcentral